AGAGUUUGAUUAUGGCUCAGGACGAACGCUGGCGGCACGCCUAACACAUGCAAGUCGAACGGAGAUGAUUUGAGUUUACUUAGAUCAUCUUAGUGGCGGACGGGUGAGUAACACGUGAGCAACCUGCCUUUGAGAGAGGGAUAGCUUCUGGAAACGGAUGGUAAUACCUCAUAACAUACAGAUACCGCAUGGUGACUGUAUCAAAGAUUUAUCACUCAAAGAUGGGCUCGCGUCUGAUUAGAUAGUUGGUGAGGUAACGGCUCACCAAGUCGACGAUCAGUAGCCGGACUGAGAGGUUGAACGGCCACAUUGGGACUGAGACACGGCCCAG
Molecule: ribosomal RNA, 331 nt
Filed under: uncultured bacterium
Lineage: Bacteria
Description: bacterial SSU rRNA
Rfam family: Bacterial small subunit ribosomal RNA
Source: RNAcentral